AGCAGCCGCGGUAAUUCCAGCUCCAAUAGCGUAUAUUAAAGUUGUUGCAGUUAAAAAGCUCGUAGUUGAAUUUCGGGAUCAAAGAAUCGGUCAUGCCUUGGUAUGUACUGGUUUUAUUGGUUCUCACCUUCUAAAGAACCAUGAUGUCAUUCAUUUGAUGUUAUGGGGAAUUAGGACUGUUACCUUGAAAAAAUUAGAGUGUUUAAAGCAAGCUUACGCUUGAAUACAUUAGCAUGGAAUAAUGAAAUAGGACAUCAGAUUCUAUUUUGUUGGUUUCUAGGAUCGAUGUAAUGAUUAAUAGGGAUAGUUGGGGGCAUUAGUAUUCAAUUGUCAGAGGUGAAAUUCUUGGAUUUAUUGAAGACUAACUACUGCGAAAGCAUUUGCCAAGGAUGUUUUCAUUAAUCAAGAACGAAAGUUAGGGGAUCGAAGACGAUCAGAUACCGUCGUAGUCUUAACCAUAAACUAUGCCGACUAGGGAUCGGAUGAUGUUAAUUUUUUAAUGACUCAUUCGGCACCUUAU
Molecule: unclassified non-coding RNA, 520 nt
Filed under: uncultured Glomus
Lineage: Eukaryota; Fungi; Glomeromycota; Glomeromycetes; Glomerales; Glomeraceae
Description: SSU rRNA
Rfam family: Eukaryotic small subunit ribosomal RNA
Source: RNAcentral